UUAAAAGUGAUGAUCUGGAAAUAGUAUGGGGCAUACUGUAGUGCAGAGAGGAAACCAUUUGGUGAGAGGUUUCUAUACAGUUCUUCAGAACCCGUCCGGAGAACUGCAGGCGAUGAGCCUUGCCGGGAACAGCUCCGUUAACAGGCUGGGGAUAUCUUCUAUUAAUAAUAGAAUGUGUCUCACUGAGAUGACUUUGUGUCAAAAAAGGUGGUACCGCGAAUGAGACUUCGCCCUUUUA
Molecule: non-coding RNA, 238 nt
Filed under: Geosporobacter ferrireducens
Lineage: Bacteria; Bacillati; Bacillota; Clostridia; Peptostreptococcales; Thermotaleaceae
Description: T-box sequence
Rfam family: T-box leader
About the family: Uncharged tRNA acts as the effector for transcription antitermination of genes in the T-box leader family. T-boxes are found upstream of many aminoacyl-tRNA synthetase genes and some amino acid biosynthetic genes usually in Gram-positive bacteria. The anticodon of a specific tRNA base pairs to a specifier sequence within the T-box motif, and the NCCA acceptor tail of the tRNA base pairs to a conserved bulge in the T-box antiterminator hairpin.
Source: RNAcentral